Molecule: non-coding RNA, 148 nt
Organism: Erwinia amylovora ATCC 49946
Lineage: Bacteria; Pseudomonadati; Pseudomonadota; Gammaproteobacteria; Enterobacterales; Erwiniaceae
Source: Rfam
AAAAAGAAAUGACCCGCACGGGGGAGCCGUGUGGGCCUAAGAUGUGACGAGUAUCGUUCAUCCUGCAUGCCUUUACAGACACGAUUCAGAACAGAUGGUUAUGCUAUUUGGAUUUUAUCGUUAGGAGCCUGUGAAUUCUGGCAGGAAA